ACGGAGGGCGCAAGCGUUGCUCGGAAUCACUGGGCGUAAAGGGUGCGCAGGCGGUUUAUUAAGUCAGAUGUGAAAGCCCAGGGCUCAACCCUGGAACUGCAUCUGAAACUGGUUAACUUGAGUAUGAGAGAGGAAAGUGGAAUUCCUGGUGUAGAGGUGAAAUUCGUUGAUAUCAGGAGGAACAUCAGUGGCGAAGGCGACUUUCUGGCUCAUUACUGACGCUCAUGCACGAAAGUGUGGGUAGCAAACAGG
This 252-nucleotide ribosomal RNA is filed under the name uncultured bacterium. Its description in RNAcentral is "partial 16S ribosomal RNA". It matches the Rfam family "Bacterial small subunit ribosomal RNA", at positions 525 to 776 of the family's 1533-position model. The record is from RNAcentral.